CCUACGGGAGGCAGCAGUGGGGAAUAUUGCGCAAUGGGCGAAAGCCUGACGCAGCGACGCCGCGUGAGGGAUGAAGGUCUUCGGAUCGUAAACCUCUGUCAGCAGGGAAGAACGGUCACUGUGCUAAUCAGCAGUGCAUUGACGGUACCUGCAAAGGCAGCACCGGCUAACUCCGUGCCAGCAGCCGCGGUAAUACGGAGGGUGCGAGCGUUAAUCGGAAUUACUGGGCGUAAAGCGCUCGUAGGCGGUAGGUCAAGUCAAGGGUGAAAUCCCCGGGCUCAACGUGGGAACUGCAUUUGAAACUGGUAAACUGGAGUGUGUGAGAGGAGAGUGGAAUUCCAGGUGUAGGAGUGAAAUCCGUAGAUAUCUGGAGGAACACCAGUGGCGAAGGCGACUAUCUGGAACAUAACUGACGCUGAGGAGCGAAAGCGUGGGUAGCAAACAGGAUUAGAUACCCCAGUAGUC
RNAcentral lists this ribosomal RNA (465 nucleotides) under uncultured bacterium. Its description in RNAcentral is "partial 16S ribosomal RNA". It matches the Rfam family "Bacterial small subunit ribosomal RNA", at positions 338 to 795 of the family's 1533-position model. The record is from RNAcentral.